AUGGGAAUUAAUCUGCAGUGGACAUGUUGCAGGGCCAGUAAAGUUUUUUUUCUUUUCUCCUCUUUUUCUAGUGGUUACAGAGAAAGAGUUCGACGCAUGGAAGAGAGGAGAAACAUGUCAGUCAGCGGCGAAAUUCCAACACCUCACGAGGAGGGGGAAAGAGAAAGGAGGAGAGAGAAAGAACAGGGAGAGGGGAGAAAGACGUCACCACGCAAUCUGCUCCCUCAGCACAGCUCCUCAGAUGUGGUCUGGCACCUAGUUCACAAAGCCAACCAGAUCCACACAUUGACUUCAUAUAUCUCUGGAAAGGGUAACCGCAGCCCGGCGCUGGGCAAUUUCCCCUCAACAUGCAAAACUGUGAGGACAAAAUGUGGGACCUGCCAUUCUCCAUGCAUAUUAAAGACACUUGUCAUCAAGACGUCACCCAGGAGCUAUGAGAACAAGAGGUACAGUUCCUCUGAGACAGACUCACUCACCAUCAAAACCAUGAAAUUAGACCCAGGAAAAUAUCCUUGUGAUGGGAAAAAUGCUACACUUUAGUGCAUUUUGCAUAUAAAAAAAAGGGAAAAAAACCUGAAACGGAUGCAUGUAAAUUGCCCGUGCCACAAAGACAAAUUGGUAAUUCAGGUUUGGAAUGAAAAUGACACUAAAGUGCAAAAAGGAAAUGGUGCAGCAUGAAAGGAAUAAGGGUUGUUAAAAUGUCACAUUUGAGAUUCUGUGCCUUUAGGAAUCGAGAUGUAUUGUUAGGGGAAAUGUGAUAAACACGAGCCAAAUGUACGGGCGAGCAAAUAGGGCUCCGUGUAUGCCGCGUUGUCUUAGUCAACGUGCUAAGAGCGACGCCCACAGAGCAGACACAAUCUGACGAAUGUACAAUUUGUAGUUAUAUACUUCUUUCGCACCUUGGUCGUAGGGACGCAUACGUUUUCUCCAUAAUGAAAAAAAAAAACGGAACGUGUACCCACACAAUGACAUUCAAAAAAGCGUUAUUCUGAGUAAAUGAAAAAAACAAAUGCUGAUGUGUUCAAAGUGUUUACAGAUGUACUUUUGCUCGGAGGUGGCACGCGGCCAUCUUCAAAAUCCACAGCUGAAAUAAAUAUAUUUCAUAUAAUUUGAUUUUGUUAAUUCCACGUCCAGCACUGCGGAUCAUUUUUUCAGCCACUUGAAACACUCUUCACCCGAUUAACACUAGGACCGGUGGCGGUGAACAAAACAACAGACUUUACUUUGUUGCCCGUAUUCAGUGUAAAUACUGUAAGGAAGGCGGAUCCUUUCCCCCCACAUAGGUGCUGGUGACACAAGCCCCCCUCGGUUUGUCCCUGGGCUCCUCGGGGCUCAAGACCAGUGCCCUCCAGGAUGACAAAUGGCCUUAAUGAAAUUGGACAACUCAGCAUACAUGCAUAAGAGGAUGUUAAAUAUUGAUAGUGAAGAUCAACGGUAGCGGUGCAUAUUCCAGUCUUUAAUAUUUUAAGUGUCAGACAGGCCUAUUGUCUAUCUAUGGGGGGGGUAAAUCACUGUCUGUGUCCCCCCCCCAGUUCUCUUUGAGACACAUAUGAUGGCCGGGGCAGCGUUCACUCAGCCACGGAUGAGAGCACUGGGCCCUGCACUUUGCAUAUAUGCUCAACAAAAGCGAGCUGGGGGUGGGGGUCAUCUUUUCAUAAAUUUUCAUUCUGAUCAAAUGGGAUUAUGCAUUUGAAAAAAACCUCACAUUCAAGCAAACAAAUGAAAACCAUAUAUUUAUUCACAGUUAAGGCAGCAACAAUGAAAAGAGACCCCCUGUCCAUGUAAGUAAUCUCCAAUCUGUCUUUUUUGUAUUUUCUUUUAAUUCAUUCAAUCCAAGUUGAGGCUUUGAUUUCAUCCACCUUUAUCUUUCACUUCUGUUAUCUUACUCCAAGUUAGACUAACAUAUACAUCAACGUAUAAUUUUUUAUAAUCACAGCAAUUUUUUUUUAUAAUGUAGUUCACUUAAAGUAAUUUGAAUAUCUAUAUGUCCCCACUAGAAAUUCUCUGUUUAAAAAUAAGCUUGAGUUCAGACAGUGUGAUGUGAA
Long non-coding RNA from Scophthalmus maximus (turbot), 2045 nucleotides. Lineage: Eukaryota; Metazoa; Chordata; Actinopteri; Pleuronectiformes; Scophthalmidae. The record is from Ensembl.